Xenopus laevis (African clawed frog) is the source of this 2216-nucleotide long non-coding RNA. RefSeq lists it as uncharacterized. Lineage: Eukaryota; Metazoa; Chordata; Amphibia; Anura; Pipidae. The record is from RefSeq and is a predicted model, not a curated record. The transcript is spliced from 3 exons.
UAGAGGCAUUAGCUCCUUUCUAUUGUUAUUAACUAGCUCAGUGCCAUGUGAAUCAUCUAUUUCUUCUCCACUAGAGGCAUUAGCUCCUUUCUAGGGUUAUUAACUAGCUCAGUGCCAUGUGAAUCAUCUAUUUCUUCUCCACUAGAGGCAUUGGGUCCUUUCUAGGGUUAUUAACUAGCUCACUGCCAUGUGAAUCAUCUAUUUCUUCUCCACUAGAGGCAUUAGCUCCUUUCUAGGCUUAGGAACUAGUCACUACUAUAUAUUGAUCGCACAGUCCUUAUAGGACUUCCUUUGUAUUCACUGCAGCAGAGCUAAGGGGUGUCUGUGUUACUAAUAACCUGCAAUCACAUCUGUGUGUGUGGGAGAGAGUUGGAAGAUCAAAUCUGAUGCUCAGGAUCAUUUCUCUGGCUGCUUCUUACUAACGAUUUCAUACCAUAAUGGCACAGAGGCAAUUUCAUGUAUAAAUACCCCCAGAAUUCAUAACAGAAUGGCAGAGGGAUGCCGAUGCUUUAACAUUGGAGGGGGGGUGAGGAGGAAUCUGCAGAUGCCAACCAGAAGCAACUUUUCAGCAUGUCCUCACCAACAAAGCCCUGUGCGUGAGCAGUGAUACACAUUUACAGAGAAGGACAGGGCAUGCAGGCCGGGGCCCUAGGCAACCCAGCCAGCCGUGACGCCCCUCCGCCACACAUGUGCACUGACCGCACGCAUAGGAGGCGCGCACAUGCGUACUAACCGGCUGCGUCCACCUCUCCAGGUACGCUCUCCCCUCAUGUACGCGCAUGCGCACAAACAGGCACAUGGAGUGGAGAAGAGCGGCACUCACUCAGCCGGACAUUGGGUAGGUAGCAGUGAAAGGUACGUACCUGGCGCCCCUCAAGCUUUGCACCCUAGGCACUUGCCUACUCUGUCUACCCCUAGUUCCAUCCCUGAUGGGCGGGGCUAUUUGCUGAUGUCAUCUUGAUGCCUCGUCACGUUAGGGUCCUUCUCAGUGCUGCUCUUCUCCCCACCCUGCUUUACAUGUACACCCUUCCCUUGAAAAAAAAUGUAUCUAAUCCAAUAUUCCACAGAUUCUCUUUCUUACCACCCCCCUCUGUGCUAUAACGAGUAGAAUGAGCAAGCUGGUGAGUAAAAGAGCCUGUGAAGGAAGGGGAGCAAGAGCCAGGGAGGGAGAGAGCUGGUAAGGGAGAGGAACUGAGAGCCGGGAGGGGGAGGGAGAGUCAGAGAGGGAAGAAGAUACCUUUGAAGCAAGCAAUAAAAAUGACAAAUAUAUAUAUAUAUUGGUAGUGCUGCUACAAUAAUUCUCAUGAUAGUGUAAACACCCCUCAUUCAUUUUUUAACAACCCCCUGCAACCAAUUUGUCUUUAUCUAUAAGUCCAAAUGUAAAAAAUGAGUCUGGGAUUGAAGUUCCCCCAAAGUCCAGCAACUUCUUUUAGGGCCCUCCUCUGCCCAUACAAAAGCUUCACAGAAAUAAACUUUCUGUUAUCUCCCCUCCCCUCUGAGGGAUACAGCAACAUCAUUUAUUUCUGUGUUGUCUUUAUCUAUAUUGGUAUCAAGUAGUAGAAGUCCACAUUUUUUAGUGGAAGUCCACAUACCACAUAGUGGUAAAUCUAUGCAUAUUGAGCAUCAAACUAUUCAGUAGACCUCUUGAUGUCCAUAUAUAGGGUGAUUUUUCUUUGCAUGUAAAACAUUGGGCAUCAAACUAUUCAGUAGACCUCUGACGUCCAUAUUUAGGGGGAUUUUUCUUUGCAUGUAAAACAUUGUAUGAGACAACUGUGGCAAACAUUUUUUAGGCAAUUUUCAGAAAUGUCGUAAAACCUGUAUGUUUAGAAAAGCUUUGCAGUUUGGUAGUUUGGAGUAGAAAGACAUAUUUACCCAUUUUGGAUUUGUCAGAAUCUGUACUUUACAAAGAUAUAUGGUUUUCAGGAAUCACCAUUAUUUCUUCUACCUUUUAUCCCACAUAAAUUGUUUAUAAAUUAGUAUAAAUGUAAACCUUCAUAUAAGUAUGCACAAGGUAGAUUUUGAAGUCUUUACAUGCUAUGUAUUUAUCAAACUGUUUAGAGGACCCCAGACUCUCAUAUUUGGGGUGAUUUAUCUUGGUACCUAAUAGUAUGUGGGAGGUAAGAUGCGGCAGUUUCUACUAAUGCAACUAAUGAUGCAUGGUUCACACAUGAAGAAAUUCAAAAGAGACUAGAACAUGUUAAGAUUAACAAAGGUCC